This 492-nucleotide ribosomal RNA is filed under the name uncultured bacterium. RNAcentral's name for it is "partial 16S ribosomal RNA". It matches the Rfam family "Bacterial small subunit ribosomal RNA", at positions 29 to 507 of the family's 1533-position model. The record is from RNAcentral.
AGUGAACGCUGGCGGUAGGCCUAACACAUGCAAGUCGAACGGCAGCACAGUAAGAGCUUGCUCUUACGGGUGGCGAGUGGCGGACGGGUGUGGAAUACAUCGGAAUCUACUUUUUCGUGGGGGAUAACGUAGGGAAACUUACGCUAAUACCGCAUACGACCUACGGGUGAAAGCAGGGGAUCUUCGGACCUUGCGCGAUUGAAUGAGCCGAUGUCGGAUUAGCUAGUUGGCGGGGUAAAGGCCCACCAAGGCGACGAUCCGUAGCUGGUCUGAGAGGAUGAUCAGCCACACUGGAACUGAGACACGGUCCAGACUCCUACGGGAGGCAGCAGUGGGGAAUAUUGGACAAUGGGCGCAAGCCUGAUCCAGCCAUACCGCGUGGGUGAAGAAGGCCUUCGGGUUGUAAAGCCCUUUUGUUGGGAAAGAAAAGCAGCAGGUUAAUACCCCGCUGUUCUGACGGUACCCAAAGAAUAAGUACCGGCUAACUUCGUG